This 122-nucleotide ribosomal RNA is filed under the name Actinomycetota bacterium. RNAcentral's name for it is "partial 16S ribosomal RNA". It matches the Rfam family "Bacterial small subunit ribosomal RNA", at positions 1 to 114 of the family's 1533-position model. The record is from RNAcentral. Lineage: Bacteria; Bacillati; Actinomycetota.
UCGAUGGAGAGUUUGAUCCUGGCUCAGGACGAACGCUGGCGGCGUGCUUAAUACAUGCAAGUCGAACGAGGUCCAUCCAGUUGAAAGACUGGUGAAGAUCUAGUGGCGAACGGGUGAGUAAC